RNAcentral lists this long non-coding RNA (876 nucleotides) under Lonchura striata (white-rumped munia). Its description in RNAcentral is "domestica (Bengalese finch) lncRNA (ENSLSDG00000016002.1)". Lineage: Eukaryota; Metazoa; Chordata; Aves; Passeriformes; Estrildidae. The record is from RNAcentral.
AUAAAAAAGAAGCUGCUGUAUCCAAAGAACUCAAAAAGCCAGCAAAAGCUCCUACAGCCAACCCAGCCAUCAAGAAAGCAGCAACACCAGAACUGCAUAAAAAAGAAAAAAUAAUGGAAUCUGGCAAAAUAACAAAGAAAGAAACAAAAGUACAUGCAGCUGUGGAAACUCCAAAGUCAAAAGCAGGUCUUGAAAAAAAAGAAGGAAAAGCAACAAAGGCAGUAAUGCAAGAUAAACCAAAGAUGAAACAAGGAAAUCCUGGAAAAGAGAAAGAAUUGAAAUCUCCAGCUGCCACAAAAGAUAAAGAACAUGCUAAAGAAAAGGAGGGGAAGAAUCCUACAUCUUUAAAAGAAAAAGAUUCCCUGAAAGGAAAAAAUCCCAAGAAUCCAGAGAGCAUAAGAGAAAAAGAGAGUGGAAAAAGAAAAGAUGUGAAGCCUCCAACAGCCUUAAAGGAAAAAGACUCUUCAAAACGAAAAGAAAUCAAGGCUUCAACUAAUCCUAAGGAAAAAGCUGCAGUGAAAAAGGAGGGGGAGAAGAAAGCUUCCUCAGAGAACCCGCAUGAGCACAAGCAUGAACGUGUUAAACAUGAAAAAGCUGCCUCUCAGACAAAGCCAGAGGAGAAAAUGAAACAACCAAAGACUAUUCCCACUGAGAAGUCAGCCCAGGCAAAAUCAGCAAAGCAUGAAGCAGUCAGACAUGAAAAAGAUGUCCCCCUUACAAAACCAGUCAAACCAAAAAACACUGCAAAACCAACAGCUGAAAUCCCAACAUCAGUCACAAAAAAACCAAAGACAACCAAGGAAAAAGAAGGUAGGAAUUUAUUCUAUGUGUACAUAUAUAUGUAGACGAUCACAAUAAAAAUAGUAUGAGAUUGCA